GAAGGCAGGUUACUAAGCAACAACUGACGNUGAUGGACGAAAGCGUGGGGAGCGAACAGGAUUAGAUANNNGGUAGNCCACGNNNUAAACGAUGCUAACUNGUUUUUGGAAUGUAAGUUUCAGAGACUAAGCGAAAGUGAUAAGUUAGCCACCUGGGGAGUACGAACGCAAGUUUGAAACUCAAAGGAAUUGACGGGGGCCCGCACAAGCGGUGGAUUAUGUGGUUUAAUUCGAUGAUACGCGAGGAACCUUACCAAGGCUUAAAUGGGAAAUGACAGGUUUAGAAAUAGACUUUUCUUCGGACAUUUUUCAAGGUGCUGCAUGGUUGUCGUCAGCUCGUGCCGUGAGGUGUUAGGUUAAGUCCUGCAACGAGCGCAACCCCUGUCACUAGUUGCCAUCAUUAAGUUGGGGACUCUAGUGAGACUGCCUACGCAAGUAGAGAGGAAGGUGGGGACGACGUCAAAUCAUCACGGCCCUUACGCCUUGGGCCACACACGUAAUACAAUGGCCGGUACAGAGGGCAGCUACACUGCGAAGUGAUGCAAAUCUCGAAAGCCGGUCUCAGUUCGGAUUGGAGUCUGCAACUCGACUCUAUGAAGCUGGAAUCGCUAGUAAUCGCGCAUCAGCCAUGGCGCGGUGAAUACGUUCCCGGGCCUUGUACACACCGCCCGUCAAGCCAUGGAAGUCUGGGGUACCUGAAGUCGGUGACCGUAACAGGAGCUGCCUAGGGUAAAACAGGUAACUAGGGCU
Molecule: ribosomal RNA, 750 nt
Filed under: uncultured prokaryote
Description: bacterial SSU rRNA
Rfam family: Bacterial small subunit ribosomal RNA
Source: RNAcentral